AAAAAUAACCCCAGCACAGAACGAGUGACAGAUCAACAGGAUACUACGAAUUAUAUGAAUUAACACCUUUGCAUGGAAAUUGUACCUAUUUUUAGUGCAUUUUAAUGCGAUUUAAUAAUGCCGUCACGCUAGCUGUUUCUCGUAUUCAGUUAAAGUUUGAACUUGAAAAUAUUCAUACAACAAAGAAGGUUAGAAGGCUUUAUUCGUCCACAAGUAUUAAUAAAAAUACUUCACCAUUUUUCUUAUUGUGCAUUCAUCAUAUUUUUGGUAAAGCUAUGGCUCAACGACGAUUAAUUGUCGUUCUUGCAAUAACUGCAGUAUUAUUAGUCUCUCAAUGUGUCUCCGUUCGGGUCAGAUUUUGCUCAGGCAUUGACCUGAGUGGGACUUGUGCCACGAAAAAUGUCGAAAUAGGCAUGUUUCGUACCAAAUGUGAGGAUUUCCCUUGGAGAUUUCGCUGGAUCUUUACUGCUCGUUCGGUGAAAGUCGAAGGCAGUUUUUUCACCGGAUGCCACUCCGUUUGCAGACUACACAAGAGCGACAGUUGCAGCUGCUGGUUUGGAAAUUGUCCCACAUUAGACUUUGCUUGUGGUAUUAAAAACCUGGAAGAAAGUCAUGGAUGGGAGGGUGUCACUUGUGUAUAAAUUAGUUGGUCAGGCGUAAACUUUUAUCGAGUGAAAACUUAUUGGACGUAAAUAAAUGUGAAUGUAAAUAAUUAAUGAGAAUACAUUUUUA
Molecule: long non-coding RNA, 732 nt
Organism: Folsomia candida
Lineage: Eukaryota; Metazoa; Arthropoda; Collembola; Entomobryomorpha; Isotomidae
Exons: 2
Source: RefSeq, a predicted model, not a curated record